Molecule: long non-coding RNA, 202 nt
Filed under: Glycine max (soybean)
Lineage: Eukaryota; Viridiplantae; Streptophyta; Magnoliopsida; Fabales; Fabaceae
Description: long non-coding RNA (GMAX_LNC000605)
Source: RNAcentral
UCGACAGUUGCCUGCGAGAGUGAUAGUUAGGUUGCAACUCGCAGCGAGUGACAAUAACAGUGAUGUUGCAACGCCACGAGAGGUUGCAAUGCUGGUGGUGACAGAGUUACAGUCCCAUGAGAGGUUGCAAAUGAGAGUGCGGAGGCAUUCGAGUGAGAAUGAUGAGAGUGAGAGGUUUCAAAGUUACUGAGCUUCAAGGUUU